UUGGUCCUGUGCAAAGAAUCUCGCCACUUACAAGCAAUAAUCAAGCCAGAAGGUGCUUUGCCACUGCUGCUACUGGUGCAUUCAGGCUCUUGAAGAUGCUGAAGUAGAUUAGAAAGAUAGUUGACAAUCUUUUAGGGGACUAUAAUUGGAGUAUAAUUGCUUCAGUUUUACUGCUCUAUCUUACUACCGUUUUGGUUAUAGGUUAAACUGUCUCGGCAGAUUUCAUUGCAUUACUGUAAAAUCACUCGAUGUUUUCAUCUGCUGUGAAUACAAUGACCGAUAUAUAAUUGCUCCUCUGCAUUUCGAUGGGAAUAUUAGUUGUUUGAUUUGUUUUGUGGAUCUACAGUUCUUGACGAUGACACUUGCUUGAACAAAGACCAGGUUGUUUGGUCUCUCAUUUUUCUCAGAGCAAUAUUCUACUAUGUGAAGUGAAGUUGUAAAUAAACUAUUCUAUGAAAUCUGUUUUGACCAGUCACAAGUUUGUUGUUUUGUAAAAUAUGUUCUUAUGAUAUGCAAGUCAUGUAUUUGCCAAUAAAAAAUGGGAUGUACUGUAUUUUG
Lolium rigidum is the source of this 558-nucleotide long non-coding RNA. RefSeq lists it as uncharacterized. The record is from RefSeq and is a predicted model, not a curated record. Lineage: Eukaryota; Viridiplantae; Streptophyta; Magnoliopsida; Poales; Poaceae. The transcript has 2 exons.